UGAAACCAGGAUUAGAUACCCUAUUAUUUUAAAAUGAAUACAAACAAACUAAAUUAGUAUUAGAUAUAUACUUUAAAAUUAAAAGAUUUGGCGGUAGUUUAAUCCUAUUAGAGGAACUUGUUUUUUAAUCGAUAACCCACGUAUAAUCUUACUUGUCUUUGUUUACAGUAGUUUGUAUACCAUCAUUAUAAGGAAAUUCUAAAAGGAUAAAUUUCUUAGAAUAAUUUAUUAUAGAAAUUAGAUCAAGGUGCAGCUAAUAGAUAAGUUAAAAUGAGUUACAGUAAAUUGUUUUAUGACGAAUUAAAUUAAAUUAAAAUUUUUAUGAAGGAGGAUUUGAUUGUAGCGUGAAUUUAAUAAGUUUGCGCGGAAUUGGCUCUAAACUAUGUACAUAUCGCCCGUCG
Molecule: ribosomal RNA, 401 nt
Filed under: Sesarmidae sp. 1 KYKC-2019
Lineage: Eukaryota; Metazoa; Arthropoda; Malacostraca; Decapoda; Sesarmidae
Description: partial small subunit ribosomal RNA
Source: RNAcentral